CUAUGAUUCAGCAUAUGAUUCAUGGCAAAGGAG
This 33-nucleotide non-coding RNA is filed under the name Pediococcus claussenii ATCC BAA-344. RNAcentral describes it as "L31-Firmicutes ribosomal protein leader". It matches the Rfam family "L31-Firmicutes ribosomal protein leader". Lineage: Bacteria; Bacillati; Bacillota; Bacilli; Lactobacillales; Lactobacillaceae. The record is from RNAcentral.